Long non-coding RNA from Daphnia magna, 1749 nucleotides. RefSeq lists it as uncharacterized. The record is from RefSeq and is a predicted model, not a curated record. The transcript is spliced from 8 exons. Lineage: Eukaryota; Metazoa; Arthropoda; Branchiopoda; Diplostraca; Daphniidae.
AAAUGCUUUUCUUGCAUGCGUUAGGGUUGUGCAGCUAUUAUUCUGUGUUUUUUUCAUCAUCAACAGUACAGGCUGACCCUACGAGUAACGACAGUUUUAGCAACAAAUGUUUUAGCGCCUCGUCUUGCAACUGUAGUUGAUACUCUAGGGUUUUAUGUUUUAAAUUGGAUUUCAACUGUUUGAGAUCAGUAAAGUUCAAGCACUUAAAAGCAAGAAUUGUACUGAUUUAAAAGUAAACUGUUUUCUUUGGGUUUCAGAAGGAAAAACUAGAUGGCGUUGACGUGCGUCUAUGAUAAUUGAUAAAUAUUACGAAUUUACGAGUGACAAGUUAAAUUGGUGUUUAUUACGUUUCUACCCUGUUCAGUGUUUCAAAGGAUUUUUCAUCAAAUAUUAACGGUAUGAUAUAAUCUUACCGUUUUUAUUGUAAGCCCGACUAAGUUGGGGUCACUCACCCCGUUCGCUUCCGUUCAUUCCUCCUUCAUGCGAAGCUAAGGGGUGAGGGCCCAUGAAGUUUAGUCGGGUAAAACAAAAAAGUUAGGUAAGUGAAAGAUCACUAAUGAAUUGGAUUAAAUUUUGUAACUAUGCCAAGAUUGCAUUCUAUUUUAAACAUUCUCUUGGUUACAACACUAAAAUUUGCCACUUUUUUGUGCCAACCUGAGAUAUACUUCUUUUCAUGAUUAUUUGCAUGAUACACUCAAUUGUUGUUUGAAGGUGGAUUGUCACCAGACAUCCUUUGAAUGGUACGCCCACUAUCAGCAGCCUUAUAGUGUGCUUCAUAAAUAUGUCAACCCCUGAGAUGACAUUAUCCUUGGAAAUUGUGUUUUUGUUGUGGUUUUGUUCUCCACUUCUAUUCUUCGUUACCUUCAUGGUGUGAUAUUGUAUCAUCCUGGAAAAAGGAAUCUGGAAAUUGAUGAUUUCUAAUAUACAGCUGGUGUUCAGAUGAUGAGUUUAAUAUAUUUACAUUUUGGAAUGAACUUUCAAUUGGAAGUUGAGUGUUUUAUCAGAUUAUUGAAUCCUACUUUGAAAACCAAACUAUUUCCUUCUACAAAUGGAUUUUGAAGUAUUGUACAUAUGGUAUUAUGUACUCUAUGAUAUCUUCGCGAAGCCUUUAAUUGACGUUGUACUAAAAAAAUUCCCAUGGAAGGAAGUUCUUGCAGGAUCUUUUAUCGACCGUCUAUGUUAUGCAGUAAUUGGAUCUGCUGUUUAGUUAGAAACUUAAACUUCUCAGCUUAGAAUUUAUACGAAGAAUGAUAUUUGAUUGGAAAAAGUUCCUGGUUGAGACAAGAGAUCAAAAAAUGAUACUGAACAUUGGAAAGACGACCGGCAAUUUCAAGAUUCAUUUAUUUCCUUUCACAUUAUAGUAUUAUUAUAUUAAAAAAAAUUGAAUUGCAUAUCUGGGCUCCCUUCUUUUCUGUGGCCACGUUUCCCCUUGACUUAUGAUAAGCCCGUAGAGGAACUAAAAAAUAGUUUAAAUCAUCAAUUUUUUGUUUCUUCGUUUAAUCCAUGUUCUUUGAAUUUUCUUUUAUACUUUCUUUGUAUUUACACUGUACAUUUUCUACCUUUAAGAAAUGGAAUCUUAAUACUGCUGAUUUAUAAAUUCUGGUAUUGAGAAUUCCAGAGUGCCUUUGAAUUACCGCCGAUCACAAUCUUGUGAUUAGUAAUUUGAUGUUAUUUAUUCUUGAAUUUCAUGCUUACGAGAAUUGUACUUUCCUGCAGAAUGAUUUGGUAUACAAUCUUUGUGUACAUCGG